Molecule: ribosomal RNA, 292 nt
Filed under: uncultured bacterium
Lineage: Bacteria
Description: partial 16S ribosomal RNA
Rfam family: Bacterial small subunit ribosomal RNA
Source: RNAcentral
GUGUCAGCCGCCGCGGUAAGACGAACCACACGAACGUUAUUCGGAAUUACUGGGCUUAAAGGGUGCGUAGGCUGUGCGGAAAGUUAGGUGUGAAAUCCCCCGGCUCAACCGGGGAAUUGCGCUUAAAACUACCGUGCUAGAGGAAUACAGAGGUGAGCGGAACUUCGGGUGGAGCGGUGAAAUGCGUUGAUAUCCGAAGGAACACCGGUGGCGAAAGCGGCUCACUGGGUAUUUUCUGACGCUGAUGCACGAAAGCUAGGGGAGCAAACGGGAUUAGAAACCCUAGUAGUCC